AGUUUAAUAGUUUAAUAAUUAUAACGUUUAUUUAUUAAUAUUAUAUAUUUUUAUAUUAAAAUAAUUACCGCUUCGGUAUAAAAAAAUAUAAUUUAUAGAAAAUUUAGGUUCAAAUUUUAAUUAAACUA
This is a non-coding RNA of Xylariaceae sp. FL0255, 128 nucleotides long. The record is from the annotation of a GenBank genome assembly. NCBI's taxonomy places the organism in Eukaryota, Fungi, Ascomycota, Sordariomycetes, Xylariales, Xylariaceae.